UACGGGGGGAGCAAGCGUUGUUCGGAUUUACUGGGCGUAAAGGGCGCGUAGGCGGCCACCGCAAGUCGGUUGUGAAAUCUCCGGGCUUAACCCGGAAAGGUCAAUCGAUACUGCGGGGCUAGAGUGCAGAAGGGGCAACUGGAAUUCUCGGUGUAGCGGGGAAAUGCGUAGAUAUCGAGAGGAACACCUGCGGCGAAGGCGGGUUGCUGGGCUGACACUGACGCUGACAGCGCGAAAGCUAGGGGAGCGAACGGG
This 255-nucleotide ribosomal RNA is filed under the name uncultured bacterium. RNAcentral describes it as "partial 16S ribosomal RNA". It matches the Rfam family "Bacterial small subunit ribosomal RNA", at positions 524 to 776 of the family's 1533-position model. The record is from RNAcentral.